This 246-nucleotide ribosomal RNA is filed under the name uncultured bacterium. Its description in RNAcentral is "partial 16S ribosomal RNA". It matches the Rfam family "Bacterial small subunit ribosomal RNA", at positions 88 to 334 of the family's 1533-position model. The record is from RNAcentral.
CUGACGACCGGCGCACGGGUGAGUAACGCGUACACGAUCUGCCCUUAAGUGAGGAAUAGCCCUGGGAAACUGGGAUUAAUACCUCAUAUUAUCUUAGAGUGGCAUCGCUCAAAGAUUAAAGCUCCGGCGCUUAAGGAUGAGUGUGCGUCCCAUUAGCUUGUUGGUAAGGUAACGGCUUACCAAGGCAACGAUGGGUAGGGGGCGUGAGAGCGUGAUCCCCCACACGGGUACUGAGACACGGACCCG